RNAcentral lists this transfer RNA (71 nucleotides) under Burkholderiales bacterium PBB4. It matches the Rfam family "tRNA". Rfam says of the family: Transfer RNA (tRNA) molecules are approximately 80 nucleotides in length. Their secondary structure includes four short double-helical elements and three loops (D, anti-codon, and T loops). Lineage: Bacteria; Pseudomonadati; Pseudomonadota; Betaproteobacteria; Burkholderiales. The record is from Rfam by way of RNAcentral.
AGCCUCGUAGUGUAAUGGUAACACACCGGAUUUUGAUUCCGUAUUUCAAGGUUCGAGUCCUUGCGAGGCUG